GGGUAUAUAGCUCAGUGGUAGAGAGCAUGCUUCUCAUGUUCAAGGUCCUAGGUUAAAUCCCCAGUACCUCCA
RNAcentral lists this transfer RNA (72 nucleotides) under Camelus bactrianus (Bactrian camel). It matches the Rfam family "tRNA". From Rfam's summary of the family: Transfer RNA (tRNA) molecules are approximately 80 nucleotides in length. The record is from Rfam by way of RNAcentral. Lineage: Eukaryota; Metazoa; Chordata; Mammalia; Artiodactyla; Camelidae. RNAcentral also lists the same sequence under 3 other names.